AGCUUUGCAAAGUGGCAAUAUCGUAACCAAUGAUGUACAUCCGAGGUGCGAUUAUUUCUAGUUGAAAAAAAAAGAUUACUAAGAUCGCAAGUCCUACGUCAACUUUGUGUUUAAAUCAUAUGUAUAACCCACCUAUGAUU
Small nuclear RNA from Toxorhynchites rutilus septentrionalis, 140 nucleotides. RefSeq annotates it as U4 spliceosomal RNA. NCBI's taxonomy places the organism in Eukaryota, Metazoa, Arthropoda, Insecta, Diptera, Culicidae. The record is from RefSeq and is a predicted model, not a curated record. The transcript has a single exon.